Molecule: ribosomal RNA, 477 nt
Filed under: uncultured bacterium
Lineage: Bacteria
Description: partial 16S ribosomal RNA
Rfam family: Bacterial small subunit ribosomal RNA
Source: RNAcentral
ACGAACGCUGGCGGCGUGCUUAACACAUGCAAGUCGCACGGGAUUUAGUAAACAGAAGCCUCGGUGGAAGAUUACUAAUGAGAGUGGCGAACGGGUGAGUAACGCGUGAGCAACCUGCCUAUGACAGUGGGAUAGCCUCGGGAAACCGGGAUUAAUACCGCAUAAAAUCGUAGAAACACAUGUUUUAACGGUCAAAGAUUUAUCGGUCAUAGAUGGGCUCGCGUCUGAUUAGCUAGUUGGUGAGAUAACAGCCCACCAAGGCGACGAUCAGUAGCCGGUCUGAGAGGAUGAACGGCCACAUUGGAACUGAGACACGGUCCAAACUCCUACGGGAGGCAGCAGUGGGGAAUAUUGCACAAUGGGGGAAACCCUGAUGCAGCGACGCCGCGUGAACGAAGAAGGUAUUCGUAUCGUAAAGUUCUGUCCUAUGGGAAGAUAAUGACAGUACCAUAGAAGAAAGCUCCGGCUAAAUACGUG